RNAcentral lists this non-coding RNA (107 nucleotides) under uncultured Lachnoanaerobaculum sp. RNAcentral describes it as "FMN riboswitch (RFN element)". It matches the Rfam family "FMN riboswitch aptamer (RFN element)". From Rfam's summary of the family: The RFN element is a highly conserved domain that is found frequently in the 5'-untranslated regions of prokaryotic mRNAs that encode for flavin mononucleotide (FMN) biosynthesis and transport proteins. The record is from RNAcentral. Lineage: Bacteria; Bacillati; Bacillota; Clostridia; Lachnospirales; Lachnospiraceae.
UAUCUUCAGGGCAGGGUGAAAGUCCCUACCGGCGGUAAAGCCCGCGAGCCUAUGGCAUGAUCCGGUGAGAUUCCGGAGCCGACAGUACAGUCUGGAUGAAAGAAGAU